Molecule: ribosomal RNA, 467 nt
Filed under: uncultured bacterium
Lineage: Bacteria
Description: partial 16S ribosomal RNA
Rfam family: Bacterial small subunit ribosomal RNA
Source: RNAcentral
GACGAACGCUGGCGGCGUGCUUAACACAUGCAAGUCGAACGGAAAGGCCCUGCUUUUGUGGGGUGCUCGAGUGGCGAACGGGUGAGUAACACGUGAGUAACCUGCCCUUGACUUUGGGAUAACUUCAGGAAACUGGGGCUAAUACCGGAUAGGAGCUCCUGCUGCAUGGUGGGGGUUGGAAAGUUUCGGCGGUUGGGGAUGGACUCGCGGCUUAUCAGCUUGUUGGUGGGGUAGUGGCUUACCAAGGCUUUGACGGGUAGCCGGCCUGGGAGGGUGACCGGCCACAGUGGCACUGGGGUACGGCCCAGGGGCCUACGGGGGGAAGGGGUGGGGAAUAUUGCACAAUGGGCGGAGGCCUGAUGCAGGAUCGCCGGGUGCGGAUGACGGCCUUCGGGGUGUAAACCGCUUUCGCCUGUGACGAAGCGUGAGUGACGGUAAUGGGUAAAGAAGCACCGGCUAACUACGUG